GAUGAACGCUGGCGGCGUGCCUAAUACAUGCAAGUCGAGCGAACGGACGAGAAGCUUGCUUCUCUGAUGUUAGCGGCGGACGGGUGAGUAACACGUGUAUAACCUACCUAUAAGACUGGGAUAACUUCGGGAAACCGUAGCUAAUACCGGAUAAUAUUUUGAACCGCAUGGUUCAAAAGUGAAAGACGGUCUUGCUGUCACUUAUAGAUGGAUCCGCGCUGCAUUAGCUAGUUGGGAAGGUAACGGCUUACCAAGGCAACGAGGCAUAGCCGACCGGAGAGGGGGAUAGGCCACACUGGAACUGAGACACGGUCCAGACUCCUACGGGAGGCAGCAGUAUGGAAUCUUACGCAAUGGGCGAAAGCCUGACGGAGCAACGCCGCGUGAGUGAUGAAGGUCUUCGGAUCGUAAAACUCUGUUAUUAGGGAAGAACAUAUGUGUAAGUAACUGUGCACAUCUUGACGGUACCUAAUCAGAAAGCAACGGCUAACUACGUG
Molecule: ribosomal RNA, 497 nt
Filed under: uncultured bacterium
Lineage: Bacteria
Description: partial 16S ribosomal RNA
Rfam family: Bacterial small subunit ribosomal RNA
Source: RNAcentral